AAAGUCGUAACAAGGUAACCGUAGGUGAACCUGCGGUUGGAUCAUUAUAAAAAAUACCAAACAUGAGGAGCGUUCGACACAUGCAUUCAUCUGUCUGAGCUAGUACCAUGAUUGAUCUACCAUCUGUGAACUGAACUGUCUCUGGCAGGAGGGCAGCGUAAAAGCUGCUUGUCAGCAAGUGCUCUUUUGCAUUUGCCGUGGACAUCCUGUCAACCACUUCCAUAACUUUUAAUCAUCUAUCUUGAUUGUCUGACAUAACCUGUAUAUAAUACAUAAAACAACUUUUGGCAACGGAUCUCUUGGCUCUC
Molecule: unclassified non-coding RNA, 308 nt
Filed under: Chytridiomycota sp.
Lineage: Eukaryota; Fungi; Chytridiomycota
Description: partial contains small subunit ribosomal RNA, internal transcribed spacer 1, and 5.8S ribosomal RNA
Rfam family: Eukaryotic small subunit ribosomal RNA (bases 1-47)
Source: RNAcentral